AUACGUAGGUGGCAAGCGUUGUCCGGAUUUACUGGGCGUAAAGCGCGCGCAGGCGGCUUGUCAAGUCUGGGGUGAAAUCUCUCGGCUCAACCGAGAGAGGUCUCUGGAUACUGGCAGGCUUGAGAGGAGCAGAGGAGAGUGGAAUUCCCGGUGUAGCGGUGAUAUGCGUAGAUAUCGGGAGGAACACCAGUGGCGAAGGCGGCUCUCUGGGCUCUCUCUGACGCUGAGGCGCGAAAGCGUGGGGAGCGAACCGGAUUAGAAACCCCGGUAGUCC
This 274-nucleotide ribosomal RNA is filed under the name uncultured bacterium. RNAcentral's name for it is "partial 16S ribosomal RNA". It matches the Rfam family "Bacterial small subunit ribosomal RNA", at positions 523 to 796 of the family's 1533-position model. The record is from RNAcentral.